GAGAUCAAAGAAGUUCGCGCGGGCGACAUCGCGGCUGCUAUCGGCCUGAAAGACGUGACUACCGGUGACACCCUGUGUGAUCCGGAAAACCCGAUCAUUCUGGAACGUAUGGAAUUCCCUGAGCCGGUAAUCUCCAUCGCGGUAGAACCGAAAACCAAAGCUGACCAGGAAAAAAUGGGUCUGGCUCUGGGCCGUCUGGCGAAAGAAGACCCGUCGUUCCGCGUAUGGACUGAUGAAGAAUCUAACCAGACCAUCAUCGCUGGUAUGGGUGAACUUCACCUAGAUAUCAUCGUUGACCGUAUGAAGCGUGAAUUCAACGUUGAAGCGAACGUGGGUAAACCUCAGGUUGCUUACCGCGAAGCGAUUCGCGCGAAAGUUACCGACAUCGAAGGUAAACACGCGAAACAGUCUGGUGGUCGCGGUCAGUAUGGUCAUGUUGUUAUCGACAUGUACCCGCUGGAGCCGGGCUCUAACCCGAAAGGUUACGAGUUCAUCAACGACAUCAAAGGUGGUGUAAUUCCUGGCGAGUACAUCCCGGCCGUUGAUAAAGGCAUCCAGGAGCAGCUGAAAUCUGGCCCGCUGGCGGGUUAUCCGGUAGUUGAUCUCGGUGUGCGUCUGCACUUCGGUUCUUACCAUGACGUUGACUCCUCUGAGCUGGCGUUUAAACUGGCUGCGUCUAUCGCCUUUAAAGAAGGCUUUAAGAAAGCAAAACCAGUUCUGCUUGAGCCGAUCAUGAAGGUUGAAGUAGAAACACCUGAAGAGAAUACCGGUGACGUUAUCGGCGACCUUAGCCGCCGUCGUGGUAUGCUCAAAGGUCAGGAAUCUGAAGUUACAGGCGUUAAGAUCCACGCUGAAGUACCGCUGUCUGAAAUGUUCGGAUAUGCAACUCAGCUGCGUUCUCUGACCAAAGGUCGCGCAUCGUACACUAUGGAAUUCCUGAAGUAUGAUGAUGCGCCGAACAACGUUGCUCAGGCCGUAAUCGAAGCCCGUGGUAAAUAAGCCGCAGGGUUAAAAACCAAAAUCCCGUGCUCUCUCCUGAAGGGGAGAGCGCUAUAGUAAGGAAUAUAGCCGUGUCUAAAGAAAAAUUUGAACGUACAAAACCGCACGUUAACGUCGGCACCAUCGGCCACGUUGACCACGGUAAAACUACCCUGACCGCUGCAAUCACCACCGUACUGGCUAAAACCUACGGCGGUGCUGCUCGUGCAUUCGACCAGAUCGAUAACGCUCCGGAAGAAAAAGCGCGUGGUAUCACCAUCAACACUUCUCACGUUNACUGAGGCGUGACGACGAGGCACUACGGUGCUGAAGCAACAAAUGCCCUGCUUCCAGGAAAAGCCUCUAAGCAUCAGGUAACAUCAAAUCGUACCCCAAACCGACACAGGUGGUCAGGUAGAGAAUACCAAGGCGCUUGAGAGAACUCGGGUGAAGGAACUAGGCAAAAUGGUGCCGUAACUUCGGGAGAAGGCACGCUGACACGUAGGUGAAGUGAUUUACUCACGGAGCUGAAGUCAGCCGAAGAUACCAGCUGGCUGCAACUGUUUAUUAAAAACACAGCACUGUGCAAACACGAAAGUGGACGUAUACGGUGUGACGCCUGCCCGGUGCCGGAAGGUUAAUUGAUGGGGUCAGCGCAAGCGAAGCUCCUGAUCGAAGCCCCGGUAAACGGCGGCCGUAACUAUAACGGUCCUAAGGUAGCGAAAUUCCUUGUCGGGUAAGUUCCGACCUGCACGAAUGGCGUAAUGAUGGCCAGGCUGUCUCCACCCGAGACUCAGUGAAAUUGAACUCGCUGUGAAGAUGCAGUGUACCCGCGGCAAGACGGAAAGACCCCGUGAACCUUUACUAUAGCUUGACACUGAACAUUGAGCCUUGAUGUGUAGGAUAGGUGGGAGGCUUUGAAGUGUGGACGCCAGUCUGCAUGGAGCCGACCUUGAAAUACCACCCUUUAAUGUUUGAUGUUCUAACGUGGACCCGUGAUCCGGGUUGCGGACAGUGUCUGGUGGGUAGUUUGACUGGGGCGGUCUCCUCCUAAAGAGUAACGGAGGAGCACGAAGGUUGGCUAAUCCUGGUCGGACAUCAGGAGGUUAGUGCAAUGGCAUAAGCCAGCUUGACUGCGAGCGUGACGGCGCGAGCAGGUGCGAAAGCAGGUCAUAGUGAUCCGGUGGUUCUGAAUGGAAGGGCCAUCGCUCAACGGAUAAAAGGUACUCCGGGGAUAACAGGCUGAUACCGCCCAAGAGUUCAUAUCGACGGCGGUGUUUGGCACCUCGAUGUCGGCUCAUCACAUCCUGGGGCUGAAGUAGGUCCCAAGGGUAUGGCUGUUCGCCAUUUAAAGUGGUACGCGAGCUGGGUUUAGAACGUCGUGAGACAGUUCGGUCCCUAUCUGCCGUGGGCGCUGGAGAACUGAGGGGGGCUGCUCCUAGUACGAGAGGACCGGAGUGGACGCAUCACUGGUGUUCGGGUUGUCAUGCCAAUGGCACUGCCCGGUAGCUAAAUGCGGAAGAGAUAAGUGCUGAAAGCAUCUAAGCACGAAACUUGCCCCGAGAUGAGUUCUCCCUGAGACUUUAGGUCUCCUGAAGGAACGUUGAAGACGACGACGUUGAUAGGCCGGGUGUGUAAGCGCAGCGAUGCGUUGAGCUAACCGGUACUAAUGAACCGUGAGGCUUAACCUU
RNAcentral lists this ribosomal RNA (2669 nucleotides) under Salmonella enterica subsp. enterica serovar Typhi. RNAcentral's name for it is "bacterial LSU rRNA". The stretch from base 1007 to 2669 matches the Rfam family "Bacterial large subunit ribosomal RNA". Lineage: Bacteria; Pseudomonadati; Pseudomonadota; Gammaproteobacteria; Enterobacterales; Enterobacteriaceae. The record is from RNAcentral.